UACGUAGGUGGCAAGCGUUAUCCGGAAUUAUUGGGCGUAAAGCGCGCGCAGGCGGUCUUUUAAGUCUGAUGUUAAAGCCCACGGCUCAACCGUGGUUCGCAUUGGAAACUGGGAGACUUGAGUACUGAAGAGGAAAGUGGAAUACCACGUGUAGCGGUGAAAUGCGUAGAGAUGUGGUGGAACACCAGUGGCGAAGGCGACUUUCUGGUCAGUAACUGACGCUGAGGCGCGAAAGCGUGGGGAGCAAACAGGA
Molecule: ribosomal RNA, 253 nt
Filed under: uncultured bacterium
Lineage: Bacteria
Description: partial 16S ribosomal RNA
Rfam family: Bacterial small subunit ribosomal RNA
Source: RNAcentral